GAGCCAGGUGUGUUUCUGUCUCCGUACUGUCUACAUCAGAGCAGGAGCGUCGACUCGGGGGGACGAGCUCUCUCUUCCUCCAUUAACCGUGGAGUGUGCAGCCGGAAGCGAGCAGCCGGGAGCGAGCGGAGCGGCGCCACUAGAAACCCCAGGUCCUGUUGGAAGUUCUCUGCGCAAGAUGGAGACCCUUACAGAAAACCACAACUGGUCAAAUACAGUAAUUAACCGUAGGGACCCCAGCCCCAGUGGAUACGGCUCCAACACAGCUCUCACACCUGAAGUUCAAGGAACAUCAAAGAACAGGAGAGAGAAAUCUUGUAAAGGUCAAAGGACCAGGAAGUCUGCUGGGAGAUUGCCUCUCCUAGGCAGGACAGGAAAGCCUUGAUACCUCCACAAUAUGUCUCUCUACACAAGACAAUGAACAAUGACAAUGUCAGAUGCAUCGUGGCUGCUCUCCUCAGGCUCCCGCCACCAUGCCUGCCCUACCAGAUGGAAAUCUACUCUUGCACUGCAAACCAAAACGGACCAUUCCUUCCUCAAACUGUCCUCGCCAGGCACCUUGUUAGCACAAAGUAACGAAUGCACAAACUAACGUACCGGGCACUACGAUCUUCAGUAAGUUAGUCAUUACUCUAUCUCCUCUUCCUCCUCUACCUCAUUUUCUUCCUUUAAAAAAUAUCCUGCGCAAUUUCAAUUUUUAAAAGAUUUAUUUUCAUCUUAAAUUCUGAUUCUCUGUGUUGCGCAUGCAGCAUGUGUGCAGUUGCCUAUACAGGCCAGC
Mus musculus (house mouse) is the source of this 778-nucleotide long non-coding RNA. RefSeq annotates it as predicted gene, 31151. The transcript has 3 exons. The record is from RefSeq and is a predicted model, not a curated record. NCBI's taxonomy places the organism in Eukaryota, Metazoa, Chordata, Mammalia, Rodentia, Muridae.